AUUGAACGCUGGCGGCAUGCCUUACACAUGCAAGUCGAACGGCAGCACGGGUGCUUGCACCUGGUGGCGAGUGGCGAACGGGUGAGUAAUACAUCGGAACGUACCUUAUCGUGGGGGAUAACGCAGCGAAAGCUGUGCUAAUACCGCAUACGCCCUGAGGGGGAAAGCGGGGGAUCGAAAGACCUCGCGCGAUUAGAGCGGCCGAUGCCUGAUUAGCUUGUUGGUGGGGUAAAAGCCCACCAAGGCGACGAUCAGUAGCUGGUCUGAGAGGACGAUCAGCCACACGUGGACUGAGACACGGCCCAGACUCCUACGGGAGGCAGCAGUGGGGAAUUUUGGACAAUGGGGGCAACCCUGAUCCAGCAAUGCCGCGUGAGUGAAGAAGGCCUUCGGGUUGUAAAGCUCUUUUGUCAGGGAAGAAACGCUCUGGGUUAAUACCUCGGGGUAAUGACGGUACCUGAAGAAUAAGCACCGGCUAGCUACGUGCCAGCCGCCGCCGUAA
RNAcentral lists this ribosomal RNA (502 nucleotides) under uncultured bacterium. RNAcentral describes it as "partial 16S ribosomal RNA". It matches the Rfam family "Bacterial small subunit ribosomal RNA", at positions 30 to 523 of the family's 1533-position model. The record is from RNAcentral.